AACGAACGCUGGCGGCAUGCCUAACACAUGCAAGUCGAACGAGAUCUUCGGGUCUAGUGGCGCACGGGUGCGUAACGCGUGGGAAUCUGCCCUUUGGUUCGGAAUAACAGUUGGAAACGACUGCUAAUACCGGAUGAUGACGAAAGUCCAAAGAUUUAUCGCCAGAGGAUGAGCCCGCGUAGGAUUAGCUAGUUGGUGUGAUAAAGGCGCACCAAGGCGACGAUCCUUAGCUGGUCUGAGAGGAUGAUCAGCCACACUGGGACUGAGACACGGACCAGACUCCUACGGGAGGCAGCAGUGGGGAAUAUUGGACAAUGGGCGAAAGCCUGAUCCAGCAAUGCCGCGUGAGUGAUGAAGGCCUUAGGGUUGUAAAGCUCUUUUACCCGGGAUGAUAAUGACAGUACCGGGAGAAUAAGCUCCGGCUAACUCCGUGCCAGCCGCCGCAGUAA
RNAcentral lists this ribosomal RNA (449 nucleotides) under uncultured bacterium. Its description in RNAcentral is "partial 16S ribosomal RNA". It matches the Rfam family "Bacterial small subunit ribosomal RNA", at positions 29 to 523 of the family's 1533-position model. The record is from RNAcentral.